ACGCUCCUGAAACAGUGGGACCACUUGGUCAAGCAGGAGGGUGUGUUGUACCACCACACCUUUCGUUCGGAUGGGGGGAGGAGAAUCUCCAGCUCGUCCUGCCUGCCGUUCUUAAAGAAGAGACCAUGACCCAGUUGCACCAAGACCAUGGCCACCAGGGUGUCGAGCGCACCACUGAACUGGUGCAGCAGUGCUGUUACUGGCAGGGAAUGUCCGCCGACAUCAAGCAGUGGGUUCAGGCAUGCGAACGUUGCCAGGUUGCGAAGGAUUGACGACAGGAGCUUUUGCAAACAGUGCCAGACUUCCCCGGUGGUGGGGUCGGCCAGUCUGGUCCCGUUGGUCAGUGUUUACUUAUUCAAGUAACACUGGCGGUCCCGGAGAGUGAGUGACCUGACAUGCUCCUUCCUCCAGCUCCUCCUGGAGGACCCUGCAGCCUCAUGUCAGUGGGACGUGCCUGAAACACCUCCAGCAGGAGGUGCCAAGGAGGAUCCUGAUCAGAUGUUGAACCACCUCAACUGACCCCUUUUAACGCCAAGGAGCAGUGGUUCCACUCCGAGCUCCCUCCAGAUGUCACAGCUCCUCCCCCUAACUCUCCCCCAACCCAGAGCGGGCAAUCCACCGGUUUCUGGCAGAGAACCAUGGCCUUAGAUUUGGAGGUGCUGACUCUCAUCCCAACUCCUUCACACUCAGCUGCAAACCACCCCAGAUCAUGCUGGAGGUCAGGAUGUGAUGAAGCCAACAGAACCACAUCGUCUGUGAAAAGCAGAGAUGCAAUUCUGAGGUCCCCACACUCCGCCCCCCAGCUGCGCCUCAAGAUCCUGGUCAGCAAUCUUAAAAUCUGAAAGGACUAUAAAAAUAAAUCAGCUGAUGAGAC
Molecule: long non-coding RNA, 874 nt
Organism: Epinephelus moara (kelp grouper)
Lineage: Eukaryota; Metazoa; Chordata; Actinopteri; Perciformes; Serranidae
Exons: 3
Source: RefSeq, a predicted model, not a curated record